This 534-nucleotide long non-coding RNA is filed under the name Ictidomys tridecemlineatus (thirteen-lined ground squirrel). RNAcentral's name for it is "lncRNA (ENSSTOG00000034482.1)". Lineage: Eukaryota; Metazoa; Chordata; Mammalia; Rodentia; Sciuridae. The record is from RNAcentral.
UCAAACCAGGACGCUCAUUCCAAGGCACAGCAGUCACACAAUCCACUUUAAAGGAGAGAAGUCCAGGCCCUGCCGGCUCUUGGCCGGAACCGUCAUAAGGUCUCGCGAGAGCUUUCCCACCACCGCGAGCCCACAGAAUCACUAGUUCCGGUCUCCUAUCUUAGCACUCACCCUUCUCUCCUUCCUCCUCUACUGCUAGCCGCGCCGGAACUUUUGUUGGUAGGAACGAGUUUAUACAGUUGAGUGUUGCUGGCCGGCAUCGAGGAGAAUUGGGUGCCGUCCUCUUCCUGUCGCCGUCGUAGCGGCGGAGCGGAGCCGAGCUGAUCUGAUCCCGGAGCGCGGUUAUCUGACCGGCUGGGUCUAUGGUCGCUCCGCGAGCCGCUCCGCCGGCUGGUGCUUUUUUAUCAGGGCAAACUGUGUUCCAUGGCAGGGAACUUUUGGCAGAGCUCCCACUAAGGAAGGGUCUGCUUGGCUUUAUUCAAAUCCUUUGAGAAUCAUGGAAUUCCUGAUCUACCCAAGGUAAUAAGUAGGAAA